Dendroctonus ponderosae (mountain pine beetle) is the source of this 414-nucleotide long non-coding RNA. RefSeq lists it as uncharacterized. The record is from RefSeq and is a predicted model, not a curated record. Lineage: Eukaryota; Metazoa; Arthropoda; Insecta; Coleoptera; Curculionidae. The transcript has 2 exons.
AUACAAAACAUAGAUAGAAAAAUAGAAACCAAACCAAGGCCCUAAUAGUAAAGUGAUACAUCUUAAUGUUAUGUAGGUGCAAAGUAAGACCUUACUAUGCCGCACAGGAAUUCUCAAUGUUUACCACCUGUUUACUAUGGUCAGAGACAAGGACUUGUCUCUGCUAUGGUUUACUACUGUCUACAGCGUCUACUCUACAGAAUUGACGGAUUUUUAGCAACAGCAACAACAGAGGUGUUUUGUGAACAACAACACUGUCGACUACAACUAGGGUGCGUUCAGAACAGGGCGUGGCAACCUGUAGACGGCGUGGAAACCUGUCAUCAAUAGUAUUAUUAUUUAAAAUAUUUGCAAAUAUUCCAUGGAAUUAGCAGAUAGGAUUGGCUCUCAUGUACUUUAUAUUUGUCCCAUUUU